CUCUUAUUAAGAGUGGUGGAGAGUGAAGGCUCUGUGAAACCACGGCAACCCCCAUCAGUGGAAGGUGCCAAUCUGAGCGAGAAAUCGAACAAUAAGAG
RNAcentral lists this non-coding RNA (98 nucleotides) under Clostridium sp. RNAcentral describes it as "SAM-I sequence". It matches the Rfam family "SAM riboswitch aptamer (S box leader)". Rfam says of the family: The SAM riboswitch is found upstream of a number of genes which code for proteins involved in methionine or cysteine biosynthesis in Gram-positive bacteria. The SAM riboswitch acts at the level of transcription termination control. The predicted structure consists of a complex stem-loop region followed by a single stem loop terminator region. The record is from RNAcentral. Lineage: Bacteria; Bacillati; Bacillota; Clostridia; Eubacteriales; Clostridiaceae.